AGCGAACGCUGGCGGCAGGCCUAACACAUGCAAGUCGAACGAACUCUUCGGAUUUAGUGGCGGACGGGUGGUUAACCCGUGGGAACGUGCCUUUUGGUUCGGAGUAACUCAGGGAAACUUGUGCUAAUACCGAAUGUGCCCUUCGGGGGAAAGAUUUAUCGCCCUUAGAGCGGCCCACGUCUGAUUAGCUUGUUGGUGAGGUAACCGCUCACCAAGGCGACGAUCAGUAGCUGGUCGGAGAGGAUGACAAACCACACUGGGACUGAGACACGGCCCAGACGCUUACGGGAGGCAGCAAUGGAGAAUCUUGCGCAAUGGGCCAAAGCCUGACGAAGCCAUGCCGGGUGAAUGAUGAAAGUCGUAGGAUUGUAAAAUACUUUCGCCGGGGACGAAAAUGACGGUACCCGGAGAAGAAGCCCCGGCUAACUUCGUG
This 433-nucleotide ribosomal RNA is filed under the name uncultured bacterium. Its description in RNAcentral is "partial 16S ribosomal RNA". It matches the Rfam family "Bacterial small subunit ribosomal RNA", at positions 29 to 507 of the family's 1533-position model. The record is from RNAcentral.